UUUCUUGUUGACUCUACUCUGACUUAGGGCA
RNAcentral lists this non-coding RNA (31 nucleotides) under Homo sapiens (human). Lineage: Eukaryota; Metazoa; Chordata; Mammalia; Primates; Hominidae. The record is from RNAcentral.